Molecule: non-coding RNA, 842 nt
Organism: Prunus avium (sweet cherry)
Lineage: Eukaryota; Viridiplantae; Streptophyta; Magnoliopsida; Rosales; Rosaceae
Source: RefSeq, a predicted model, not a curated record
GGCUGACCGUGGACAGUAUAUAGCGGUUAAAGAGCCUUGGGGAGCAGAGCCUGUGGGUUGGGGUGGAAUAGUUAAUCAAGAUGUUUGAUUUGUUUGCUCGGAUGACCGAGAUUGAAAACAAGACAGGUAAGGAGGUUCAGAUAAAAGAGGUCGAGAGAGGUGAUAAAUCGGGGGGAAAGCUAGUUGUUAGGAUACCAGAUGAGAGUCGCAAAUUGAUAAGAGCGAAGAAAUUCCUAGAUCAUAGUUCUUAUGAUGGUGUUCCCAGAUCCGUUCAUGUCAUCGCAACUGCUAAUGGUACGACGACCACGAUGGUCCUUACAGCACAGUAUUUCAAUACCAACGGACGAGUCACCUUUGAAGUAGAAAAAGAAACAGGAAAACUGGUGGCGAAGGCAGAAACGAUCCCCCAAAAAAGCAACUUCAUGAGGCUUUUCUCAGACUCUUCACGGGUACAGUGAUGAGUUUGCUGAGAACUGGAGUUCGUUGAAAUCGGUUUCACUGUGAGUGUUUUUGUUCGUUCAACUUGGUGAAUUUUGUGUUGGACAAGAUUGUAUUUCCUAGUUUCUGUUCUGGUUUGGAUUGCAGGGAGUCGUGACAAUAUGGGCUAGUUUGUUAUUGUUUUGCUUUCAAUAAAACUGCUUUUUAAAGCAGUCAGAGUGUUUCACAAUCUGAGUUUGUAAAUGUGAUGUCAAAGUGUUGUAAAAUUUUUAUGUAAAAGGGACUUGUUAUUUACUUAUUAUGUGUUGUAAAAAAUUUAUGUAAAAGGGAUGUGUUAUUUACUUAUUAAUAGCAAAGCCAAAAUGCCAACCGGAUUCUAGCACAAUGAAAAAGGGCAUUGACAA